This is a long non-coding RNA of Drosophila mojavensis, 1328 nucleotides long. RefSeq lists it as uncharacterized. NCBI's taxonomy places the organism in Eukaryota, Metazoa, Arthropoda, Insecta, Diptera, Drosophilidae. The transcript is spliced from 2 exons. The record is from RefSeq and is a predicted model, not a curated record.
GUGAAGGCGGCGCAAUCGCCUGGAUUUAGUUGCAAUUAUUUUUAAUGUUGUUUACUUACUCUUCCAAUUGAUGAUGCCAAUAACUGUUUCAGAACUUCUCGCUCAAAUCGAUGUGCGCACACACACAUACAUACAUGCAUGCAUGUAUAUACACUUUCCAGUGUUGUUAAGUGUUCAAAAUAUCGUAAAUAUGAAUUGAAAGUCGAGCAGCAUUGCAAAAUAUCGUAAAUAUGAGCCCAAAGUGUAGAAAGAGUUGGAUUGCAAAAUAUUUUGUAUUCAAAAUAGAUUCGUGGCUGCAUAAGUCGUAGCCACAAUGCAGACUGGUAUGUGAGCCAAUAUAUAUAUUCGAGGAACUCACGCUGAGCUUUGGCAGCUUGGGACCUUUAGCUAAUGGGAGUCGGAGGCAAAAGUAUUCAUAAAUAAUCCCAUGAAAUUACCACACGCAUCAGACAUUCAAGAGUUUUCCGCUUUCGAGCCUAUUUCUGGGGGCAAUCUCAAUUACGAGAACAAGGGCACACAGCUAGACAGAAGUCGAUCGAAAAACUAAUCAAAUGCCGCUGCCCCCCAAAAAAUAGAGUGAAACAGGGCAGAAAAAGAAACCAGAUGAGUCCUCGCCGCGAGUGGCACGUGGAGUAUGAAACAUUCAUUUGACGCAUGCGACAUGCCACAUCAGAGUCGGAGUCGGAGUCGGAGUUGGAGACGAAGACGAAGGACGGGAGUGAUGCGCGAAUUUGAUAUUAUUGUAUAUGGCUGUGCGUGACGUUGCAUCACGGACGAAAUGGAUGGAAAUCGUGAUGGAAGCUCGUCGAGCAUAACAAGAGCCGCCAACUGACGCCUGAUGGGCUGCAUCAGUCUCAGCAUCGGCAUCGGCAUCAAUGAAAGUGGCGUCAAACACCAACCAAGUGAGCUCAGCCCUGGCAACAUUUGGAGACGCCAUUCACACGUACCGCUCAUACAUAUCCGAGACACACAGGACUCGAGUUUAACCUUGUGCCUGGAGCGAAGGACGCAUUGGGGGAGCACUGUUCUCGAGCACACUCGCACAUCGGGCCAACAACCGGUCGAACUGAAUGUUAGCUAAAUUACCUAAGCAGAGCACAGAAUUGGGUGUUUUAGUAUUUCCAGUAUUAUAUUGACUCUCCAGGAGAAGAGCAUCUCAGCUAGUUUAUGAAUACAAUUGUGUCUUGGCUCAGAUCGAAUCAUUUCAUAUGGAUAGCUAAUUAUGUUAGAGUGUUAAUGGAACUGUAAUCUAAUCUUUGACUUGUCUUAAACAAUUUCAAAUGAAGAACCUAUUUUUUCUGUUUAAAUUAUAAUAUUUGAAACUCGGA